UACAGAGGGGGCAAGCGUUAUUCGGAAUUAUUGGGCGUAAAGGGCGCGUAGGCGGCUUGGCAAGUGGAUGGUGAAAUCCCUCGGCUUAACCGAGGAACUGCCGUCCAAACUGCUUCGCUUGAGACCGGGAGAGGUGAGUGGAAUUCCCAGUGUAGCGGUGAAAUGCGUAGAUAUUAGGAAGAACACCGGUGGCGAAGGCGGCCCACUGGUCCGGUACUGACGCUGAGGUGCGAAAGCGUGGGGAGCAAACAGG
This 253-nucleotide ribosomal RNA is filed under the name uncultured bacterium. RNAcentral's name for it is "partial 16S ribosomal RNA". It matches the Rfam family "Bacterial small subunit ribosomal RNA", at positions 524 to 776 of the family's 1533-position model. The record is from RNAcentral.